This 253-nucleotide ribosomal RNA is filed under the name uncultured bacterium. Its description in RNAcentral is "partial 16S ribosomal RNA". It matches the Rfam family "Bacterial small subunit ribosomal RNA", at positions 524 to 776 of the family's 1533-position model. The record is from RNAcentral.
UACGUAGGGGGCGAGCGUUGUCCGGAGUUACUGGGCGUAAAGCGCACGCAGGCGGUCUGCUAAGUUUGGCGUGACAGUUGGUGGCUCAACCACCAAAGUGCUUCGAAAACUGACAGACUUGAGGGCUUCAGAGGGACACGGAAUUCCGGGUGGAGUGGUGAAAUGCGUAGAGAUCCGGAGGAACACCGAAGGCGAAGGCAGUGUCCUGGCGAGUGACUGACGCUGAGGUGCGAAAGCCAGGGGAGCGAACGGG